RNAcentral lists this ribosomal RNA (470 nucleotides) under Glomus sp. BEG21. RNAcentral describes it as "SSU rRNA". It matches the Rfam family "Eukaryotic small subunit ribosomal RNA", at positions 607 to 1078 of the family's 1831-position model. Lineage: Eukaryota; Fungi; Glomeromycota; Glomeromycetes; Glomerales; Glomeraceae. The record is from RNAcentral.
AAGUUGUUGCAGUUAAAAAGCUCGUAGUUGAAUUUCGGGGUUAGUAGGUUGGUCAUGCCUCCGGUAUGUACUGAUCUCACUGAUUCCUCCUUCCUUAUGAACCGUAAUGCCAUUAAUUUGGUGUUGCGGGGAAUUUGGACUGUUACUUUGAAAAAAUUAGAGUGUUUAAAGCAGGCUAACGCUUGAAUACAUUAGCAUGGAAUAAUGAAAUAGGACGUUCGAUCUUAUUUUGUUGGUUUCUAGGAUUGACGUAAUGAUUAAUAGGGAUAGUUGGGGGCAUUAGUAUUCAAUUGUCAGAGGUGAAAUUCUUGGAUUUAUUGAAGACUAACUACUGCGAAAGCAUUUGCCAAGGAUGUUUUCAUUAAUCAAGAACGAAAGUUAGGGGAUCGAAGACGAUCAGAUACCGUCGUAGUCUUAACCAUAAACUAUGCCGACUAGGGAUCGGAUGAUGUUAAUUUUUUAAUGACUCA